Long non-coding RNA from Asparagus officinalis (garden asparagus), 746 nucleotides. RefSeq lists it as uncharacterized. The transcript has 4 exons. NCBI's taxonomy places the organism in Eukaryota, Viridiplantae, Streptophyta, Magnoliopsida, Asparagales, Asparagaceae. The record is from RefSeq and is a predicted model, not a curated record.
AUAUUGAUUAGUAACCUUGUUGAACAGUGUCCAUUUUCUUUUUCACGACCUCUAAAGCAUGCUAUGACCAUCCUAUGUUUAAUACAAAAUUGUGCUCCUUAAUAUUUGCUAGGUAUGUUAUUGACAUAGAGGUAAUAUAUACAUGAGUAGAGUAGCGGCCAUCCAUUUACAUCAUACUACAAGCAAGUCUGACAAAUUUCUCCAUGUUAAUCAUAUAACGGUGGGAGGAAUGAGCCAAAGAUGAAGUUUCCUUAAAUAGGAGUUUCUUUCUAUAGGGUCUGACAUAUGUUGGGGCUUCUGCAAGACUUCUAUAUUGUUGUAUGUGCCGUUGUGUGAUUAGUUAAAUUUUGUUCAAGAAUACGAUUAGUUGGUGUCUCAAUGUGCACCGGAUGACAUCCUAAAAAUGAGAAGCUUAUUUGAACGGGCUUUUACUGCUGCUGGAGUGCAUGUGGUUGAAGUCGGCAAGAUAUGGGAAGCAUACAAAGAGUAUGAACAAGUGAUCUUUUUGACAAUUGGUGAUGACAAUAAUGAGGAAAAAUCAAAACAGAUUGAUCGGAUACGUACUUUAUUCCAUCAACAACUAUCUAUUCCCUUAAUGAAUUUAGAAUCAAAUUAGUUAAUUACAGGCUUUGGGAGGUGGAACAAGGGAACACUGGCGAUAUGAACUCAGGAAUUGGAUGGGGUCCCUGCUAAUGUUGUCUUUGCAUAUAAUAAUGCUUUGGAAAUGUAUAAUGCUCGAAGCAUGU